This 41-nucleotide transfer RNA is filed under the name Millerozyma farinosa. RNAcentral's name for it is "partial transfer RNA". Lineage: Eukaryota; Fungi; Ascomycota; Pichiomycetes; Serinales; Debaryomycetaceae. The record is from RNAcentral.
ACCCGGAUUCGAACCGGGGUUGUUCGGAUYAAACCGAAAGU